This 206-nucleotide ribosomal RNA is filed under the name uncultured bacterium. RNAcentral's name for it is "partial 16S ribosomal RNA". It matches the Rfam family "Bacterial small subunit ribosomal RNA", at positions 568 to 774 of the family's 1533-position model. The record is from RNAcentral.
CGUGUAGGCGGUAUCAUAAGUCAGAUGUGAAAGCCCUAGGCUUAACCUAGGAACUGCAUUUGAUACUGUGAAACUAGAGAUCGAGAGAGGAAAGUGGAAUUACGAGUGUAGAGGUGAAAUUCGUAGAUAUUCGUAAGAACACCAGUGGCGAAGGCGACUUUCUGGCUCGAUACUGACGCUAAGGCGCGAAAGCGUGGGAGCAAACA